This 253-nucleotide ribosomal RNA is filed under the name uncultured bacterium. RNAcentral describes it as "partial 16S ribosomal RNA". It matches the Rfam family "Bacterial small subunit ribosomal RNA", at positions 524 to 776 of the family's 1533-position model. The record is from RNAcentral.
GACGUAGGGUGCCAGCGUUGCUCGGAAUAACUGGGCGUAAAGGGUCUGUAGGCGGUGUGGCAAGUCGGGAGUGAAAUCUCUGGGCUUAACCCAGAGGCUGCUUCCGAAACUGCCGUGCUAGAGUGCGAGAGAGGUGAGUGGAAUUGCAGGUGUAGCGGUGAAAUGCGUAGAUAUCUGCAGGAACACCAGAGGCGAAGGCGGCUCACUGGCCCGGUACUGACGAUGAAAUACGAAAGCGUGGGGAGCAAACAGG